GAUGAACGCUGGCGGCGUGCUUAACACAUGCAAGUCGAACGAAGCACUUUUAUUUGAUUUCUUCGGAAUGAAGAUUUUAGUGACUGAGUGGCGGACGGGUGAGUAACGCGUGGGUAACCUGCCUCAUACAGGGGGAUAACAGUUAGAAAUGACUGCUAAUACCGCAUAAGACCACAGCACCGCAUGGUGCAGGGGUAAAAACUCCGGUGGUAUGAGAUGGACCCGCGUCUGAUUAGGUAGUUGGUGGGGUAACGGCCUACCAAGCCGACGAUCAGUAGCCGACCUGAGAGGGUGACCGGCCACAUUGGGACUGAGACACGGCCCAAACUCCUACGGGAGGCAGCAGUGGGGAAUAUUGCACAAUGGGGGAAACCCUGAUGCAGCGACGCCGCGUGAGCGAGGAAGUAUUUCGGUAUGUAAAGCUCUAUCAGCAGGGAAGAAA
RNAcentral lists this ribosomal RNA (442 nucleotides) under uncultured bacterium. Its description in RNAcentral is "bacterial SSU rRNA". It matches the Rfam family "Bacterial small subunit ribosomal RNA", at positions 28 to 450 of the family's 1533-position model. The record is from RNAcentral.